Molecule: long non-coding RNA, 970 nt
Filed under: Sorghum bicolor (sorghum)
Lineage: Eukaryota; Viridiplantae; Streptophyta; Magnoliopsida; Poales; Poaceae
Description: long non-coding RNA (SBIC_LNC004181)
Source: RNAcentral
AACCUCAAAUCAUCAGACUUAAAUUUACAGUUCUAAUCCUCCUCGUUGUUGGACAGAAAUAGAGUAGAAAAGUAGUAUAUGGCAAGUAUUCAUUAAUCAACAUUAGUAAAAAAAGUAAAUACGUAUUACAUGCCAUACUUAAAGUUCUUACAAUUAAAAAAAAUCAGUCCAACACAUACAUUCAUCCUGCUUUUACUUUUGGCCCAACAAGACACAAUACUUAGGCUACUUAGUUGAAUGGGCCAGCAAUUUUGAUAACCUGGGCCUAGGCCGAGAUUUCUCUUUUGGGGCACUAGAGCCUAGUGACCUUCUUAAGCUUAGACGUGAUCUGAGCCGCCAUGCUAAACAAAAAAAAACCCCAGAUGUGAGUACGAGUGUCAUGAUCUUUCGAUGGAGAGAGAACUUCGAUUUGAUAACAGAGAUGUUCACGACAAACUAAAGUCAUCCAAGGACGAUGCAACUCAGUGACUGAUGCACUGCAGUUGUUCACGAUCUAGCAUGACCAAAAUCAAACCACUAAGGUUACUCCUGCAAGCAAUUAAAGAACAAGCAAGAAUAAGUAGAACAAGGGCUCGAAUGCAAAUAUAAGAUGAUGGUUUAGAUCUGAUACACGAAGAUGGGAUUCCGAAUCAAGUAGAACGAAUAGUCUAAUCGACACACGUGUCUAUAAGGAAGUAGCAAGAGCUAAAUUUACAUCAAAACAAAAAUCCAAUCUGUUCUUGGUGGCCAUAGAUGCAUACGAGUCGAUAGGAGGAUAACCAAAGGGGUGUUAGAGUCGUUCUCCAGCCUUAGGACGUGUCCCUAGUGGACCCAACUUGAUACAUAGGUUUGCAACUCAAAAUAGGGUGACACAAUAUCAUAGGAAGAAAAGUCUCGACAUUAAAAGCAACAAAUGUGCCGAAUUCUAAUAAGAUAUGCAUCGGAAAGUAGGCUUGCUAAGAUUUCCAUGAAGUACUAGAGCAACCCAAUC